This 396-nucleotide long non-coding RNA is filed under the name Sander lucioperca (pikeperch). RNAcentral's name for it is "lncRNA (ENSSLUG00000023525.1)". Lineage: Eukaryota; Metazoa; Chordata; Actinopteri; Perciformes; Percidae. The record is from RNAcentral.
UCUUCCACAGAUGACUUUCAAAAAGAACAAGGCAGAACUGACUGCAUCUAUUUCUGUCCGCAGGGAAUAAUCCUGUGUUCGAGGUAUCUGGAAGAGGCAGGGGAUCAAAAAUCCAUCACCUAUGCAAAAACAGAGCUUUUCAUAUAGUUCCUUUAUUAAAGCGGGAUAUGGCUGAGGAUAUACCACGUUUGAGGGGCCAUAAAUAAUGCCAAGAAGCUUAUAGGGAAAAGAAGACUCCACUCCUUCUCUCCAGCUUCCUACCACACAGCUGUACUGUGUCAUCCACAUCCCUCACGUAUGUAUGUAUUUGUUGUUUAUGUAGCUGUGCUUUAGGUCUCUCACACAUACUGUACGUAAGUCCUAAAUAUCCCCACUCACAGAGACUUUGAAGAGCCU